UGGUAGAUAGGUGUCCAGGAACCGACUUGUAAAGCGGGAGACCACCAGUUUUUAUACCGUUGAUGGUUAGGGUUAACAGUGCAAGUCCAUGUCCUUGUAGGAUACGAAAAUCUACUAAAUUACUCUCUUCUUCAUCUUCCUCGUCUUCGUCUCUUCCACUUGUUCUUCGCGCUAUUCUCUUUCACACAAUCUGUCAAGCAACUCAUCGUCCUUUUCCUUCUACUUCUCCUUCUUCUUCUUCGUACUGCUUUAGAAAAUGUCUCAGUUAUUCUCUACUCUUCUCUUCGGGGAUAACGAAGAAUUUGAGUCUUUCUUGGGUGACGAGCUUAAGGGUUUCAUGGGGCGACUCUCAGGUUCCCAAGAGUCCUCCCCUGCGUUGCGCUUACCGCUAAUGGUUUUGAUGGGCAACGACGAAGAUGCUUUGGCGAUGGCGGAAUUAGCUACUGAUGAAGAUGGUCCAAAUACACAGCCCGCCAGUGCCCAACUCUUUGAAAAGCUCGAGGUGAUCAGAAUCGAAGAAUCGGGUUUGGUGUGCUCGAUUUGGUUGGGCCAAUUGUCGAUCGAGUCGGAAGCUAGGCGGUUGCCGUGUUCACGUGUCUACCAUGGCAACUGCAUCAUGGAGCGGCUGAAGAAGAGUAAGACUAAGACUAAGACAUGCCCUCUUUGUCGAUUGUGUUGAUCGAUCGCUUGAUAAGUGAAUUGGAUGACUACUCAGGAGAACUUAAUAUUCCAUGUCCUGCCGUUGCUCGUUCGAGCUUAUGAUGAUACUGAUCUGCGCAUUCAAGAGGAAGUCCUGAAAAAUCUGCGUCUCUUGCUAAGCAACUCGAUGUUCAGGUGAUUGCCAUUUGUAUGGAUUUGUGUGCCUGCAUGUGUUUAUGCAGACAACAUAUUCUAUUCAUGUAUGUGAAUGCAAAUUUUCAUUUUCACAUAUUGGUUGCUUUCAUCCUUGCCUUGGAAGCUGGUGAAAAUUUGCAGCAGUGUCCUAAUAUGACAAUUACAUGGUGAUUGACAGUCAUAAUCCAGAAACUAUAAGUUCAAAUUGAUGCCCUGGAGUGGAAAUGAAAAAUUCUUUUAUUUAUGUUCUAAAAUGUAACAAUUAUUUUUAUUGGGGAUCUAUUCAAUCUGUUGUUCAUUUCAAUUGUAUUAUUGUUUUUUUUUUAUAUGACUGGUUUUUUUUUUUUUUUUUUAAGUAUUGUCAAUAUGCUUUCUUUUUUCCCUGCAGAUUUUAGGAGUUUCUGUAGGUUGAUUAAAAGUGUUUCAUGGCAUAUAAGGAACAUCUUAAAAUAUCAAAGGAGAGAGAGAGAAAGAUAAUAAGAAAAAUGAUGAAAGGAGCAAAGUGAUAUAAUCCAAUUUGAAUAGCAACAAAUAAAAACGCCUAAAAGACAUUAUUCGAGAUUGCAGAGAAAAAGGCGUCAUAAUCGAUGAUCAAUAAGAAUGGAUUUUUGAUAGUAUUUCAAACUCUUAAUUGGAUUUUUUAGAGAAUCUCUAAUCAAGCCUGAAAGAUGGAACAAGAUCCGUUUUGCAUCAUUUCUAAGGGACUUUUAGUUAGGCCCAGGAAGCAAUGUCACUGAUCGUUAUCAAAUUGAGCAGCAAUCAUUUUUGGCAUCUUAAUAACUAAAGUUCAAUGUUUGCCUAGCUUUUUCCUUCAUAUAGAUUUCACAUAUGCAUACUAUAGGAAAUAGUAUGUAAUUCUUCAAACUGAUUCUUGUUCAUGGUGCUUGACAUAUUAUUUCAUGUGUGAUCCUUUGACAUGUUAAUUCACGCGUGAUUCUUUGGCACAUUAAAAAUGUCUGACCUGUCAAGGCUAUGAAAGCUAUUUGUGGAGGAAGGUUGUCACUGAGAAGCUUAAUGGAUGGGUGUCCAAACUAGGUGUCGAUUUUCUUUGAGAUGGGGGCUCAGCUCUAUAUUUUGUUUUCUGCAAUGAUAUUCAACAUAUUGAUCCCACUUUUAAAUUCAAAUCCCAUAACAUUUUUGCUAGCUAUUGUGAGAACUUGAACAGUUUUUGCACGAAUGUUAUAAACAAGAAUAUAUCACAGGAUGCCAGUCUUAACUGAAUACAAUAGUGGGAGCUUUAUUUCUUCUCUAGUUUUUCCAGUUGUGGAUAGUAUGAAAAAUUAGUGGAUCAGGGAGGAUACUGUUAGGUGGACAAUGAAAAAUCGGAAUGGUUUUAUUUUAAGCCCUUCACUCAUAAGGUAAGUGAGGCUUUCAAUCCUGAUGGAAAGCUUAAUUUUUCAUGUAGACGCAUUUAAAAUAUGAGAAUCCAUCUAAAGUGGCUUUUUUCUGUGAAGCAUCUCAUAGAGGAUCUUAAUCACUGACAGUCUCCUUAGAAGGAAGCAAGGUGUUUUUUUUUUUUUUUUUUUUUUGGUCUUUGGAACAGAUAUUUUUUAAUGAACAUAUUGUUUCUGAUUAAGCAGGUUCCUUUUCAUGUGUGUAAGCCUGCCUUAAUUUUGAGCUUGUAUCCCUUUGCACCUUUGUGCAGAUUAAUAAUAUUCUUUUUUGUCUUAAAAAAUAAAAAACUGUAUAAACUGGCAUAAUAAAAUAUGCUGAUGGGAGGUAGGCUUUGUCAUUUCAUUCUAGAAUUUGCACAAUUAUGGGUGUCAUAUUCCUUUAUUAGCUGUUAUGUGUAUAUUGCAGCACUGUAAGAGGGAAGGAAAAAGAAUGACAUUGCUAAGUAAUCGAUAUUUUCUUCUUCUUGGCAUGCUUUACCAGGGAUGGGUUUCCAAAGUCCAUGUCAUAUCUCUCUGUCUCUCAAUUAUAUUUUAUUCCUUGCAGCUAGUGACACAUUCAAUUUUGCCUCGUGUCCAUGGAUUAGCACUAAAAAUGACCGUUGCUGCAGUAUGCUUAUUUCUGUAUUUAUUUAUCAUUCAUAUUCAAUUAUUUUGUUUUGAUCUUUCUGCUAAUGUAGCUGAUUCUAAUGAGUUGGUCUGUUCAUGUGAACACCUAAAGAGAAAAGUUGUACCUGUGAGAGAUUUGUGAUGCAUCCAUGCUUUUUGGGUGAAUUGCAUAUAUUAAUCAGAAGCUUGGAAUUUGUUUCUAUUGUAA
Molecule: RNA transcript, 3042 nt
Organism: Hevea brasiliensis (rubber tree)
Lineage: Eukaryota; Viridiplantae; Streptophyta; Magnoliopsida; Malpighiales; Euphorbiaceae
Gene name: E3 ubiquitin-protein ligase SIRP1
Exons: 2
Source: RefSeq, a predicted model, not a curated record